UGCCGACAUGGUGGAAUUGGUAGACACGCUAUCUUGAGGGGGUAGUGGCCGUAGGCUGUGCGAGUUCAAAUCUCGCUGUCGGCACCAC
RNAcentral lists this transfer RNA (88 nucleotides) under Neisseria flavescens SK114. RNAcentral's name for it is "tRNA-Leu". It matches the Rfam family "tRNA". From Rfam's summary of the family: Transfer RNA (tRNA) molecules are approximately 80 nucleotides in length. Lineage: Bacteria; Pseudomonadati; Pseudomonadota; Betaproteobacteria; Neisseriales; Neisseriaceae. The record is from RNAcentral.